This 680-nucleotide ribosomal RNA is filed under the name uncultured bacterium. Its description in RNAcentral is "bacterial SSU rRNA". It matches the Rfam family "Bacterial small subunit ribosomal RNA", at positions 76 to 767 of the family's 1533-position model. The record is from RNAcentral.
CCCUUCGGGGUACUCGAGCGGCGAAAGGGAGAGUAACGCGUGGAUCAUCUGCCCUCGGAUCCGGGAUAGCUGUGGGAAACCGCAGGUAAUACCGGAUAACGUCUCCGGACCAAAGGUGCGAUUCCGUCCGAGGAUGAGUCCGCGUCCUAUUAGCUUGUUGGUGGGGUAACGGCCUACCAAGGCUGCGAUGGGUACCGGGUGUGAGAGCAUGACCCGGCUCACUGGGACUGAGACACUGCCCAGACACCUACGGGUGGCUGCAGUCGAGAAUCUUCGGCAAUGGACGAAAGUCUGACCGAGCGACGCCGCGUGCGGGAUGAAGGCCUUCGGGUUGUAAACCGUUGUCAGUUGGGAGGAAAUCGUUGGGGGUUCUCCCCCAUCGUUGACCUAUCUUCAGAGGAAGUACGGGCUAAGUUCGUGCCAGCAGCCGCGGUAACACGAACCGUACGAACGUUAUUCGGAAUCACUGGGCUUAAAGGGUGCGUAGGCGGCUCGGCAAGUUGGGUGUGAAAUCCCUCGGCUCAACCGAGGAAUUGCGCUCAAAACUGCCGGGCUAGAGGGAGACAGAGGUAAGCGGAACUCAGGGUGGAGCGGUGAAAUGCGUUGAUAUCCUGGGGAACACCAGUGGCGAAGGCGGCUUACUGGGUCUCUUCUGACGCUGAGGCACGAAAGCUAGGGUA